UUGAUGUAAAAGUUCGUAACAAGGUCUCCGUUGGUGAACCAGCGGAG
RNAcentral lists this ribosomal RNA (47 nucleotides) under Trichoderma harzianum. RNAcentral's name for it is "partial 18S ribosomal RNA". The record is from RNAcentral. Lineage: Eukaryota; Fungi; Ascomycota; Sordariomycetes; Hypocreales; Hypocreaceae.